This 3307-nucleotide long non-coding RNA is filed under the name Marmota monax (woodchuck). Lineage: Eukaryota; Metazoa; Chordata; Mammalia; Rodentia; Sciuridae. The record is from RNAcentral.
AUACGAAUUGCUCAUUGACUACUGAUCAAUUUUUCCCCCCCUAGGCUUCAUUUUUCUAUGAACUUUCCUCUAAAUUAAUGAAACCUUUUGCCAUUUGUCUAAAUUGCACACAUUGUUGGUUUCAUUGGGCACCCAGUUUCAUCUUCCUGAAUAAAUUUUUCCUGGAGCCUUCUGAUCUGCCCCAUUCUAGACUGAUAACCUUCUGUGCCUGACAAAUGGCUAUAACCUGGGAACUCUGUUCGCUUUUUGGUGGAGGUACCCAGGGGUGUACUCAGAGGCACUCAGCCACUGAGCCACAUCUCCAGCCCUUUUUUGUAUUUUACUUAGAGAAAGGGUCUCACUGAGUUGCUUAGUGCCUCACUGUUGCUGAGGCUGGCUUUGAACUCACAAUUCUCCUGUCUUAGCCUCCUGAGCUGCUGGGAUUAUAGCUGUGCACCACUCAUCACUGCACUCAGCUCCUUUCGCCUUUAUUGUGAGAAUUCCUUUUCCUCUUGUCUGAUGUUGGAUCUCUUGCUUUCUGUUAUCUUUUCUUCAUUUAUGCGUUUAUUUUGAUAGAGCCCUUUCUCAAUUUGGGGAAAGGUAGCAUUGAGGUAAAUGUUUUUAAGACCUUAUUGGUCUGAAAAGACUUUAUUUUAUUCAGAUAUUUGAUAAUUUGCUGAAUAUAGAGUUCUAGAUUGGAAAGCUGUUUCCUUCAGAAAAAGGCAUUGAACCAUUGCCUCUAAGUUUCAGUGUUGCUACAUGGAAAUCUGAAACCAUUCUGAUGCCUGACCUUUUGGGGAGACCUAAAUUUUUCCUCCCUUAGAAACAAGAAUCUUUUGUUCAUAGUAUCUUACGUUCCAUGUUGACACACUUUGGUGUGUUUUUAUUUUAAUUUACUGUGCUGGUCACUUGUUAAACCAGUUUAAACUUGAAACUUAUGUCCUUUAGUUCUCAGAAAUUUUGUCAAUUUUAUUGAUGAUUUCUUCCCCUUUUAUUUUCCCUCUUUCUCUAUUUGUAGGAUGAUGCUAUAUUUGAUGUUUUCUUUUUCCUCUAUAGUCAGCCAGUUUUCUCUAAAAUUGCUUUUGUUGAUUUUUGCUUGACAUAAGUUGUAUGCUCAUAUUUAAAAACAGGGUACUAACAAAUUGAUUAGAGACUCUCAAUAGAUGGAGUUUGUUGAUGCUGGGCUCUGCUGAAGGGCAAUCUAUUAGGUCAUUUAAUUGGAAAUACUUUUAUGUUCCUCUCUUUAGGUAUUUCCUAUUGAACUGGUCAUUCCUCAGCAAAGACUCUCCCAAGCUCCUAAGUGAAAAAUGAAUGACUUGCCAGUAUUCUGGCAGUCAAGUGUGGGAGAGGGCUGAGGUGAGGCCCAGAAUAUUGUGUGUGUCUCACUAUUCUCUGUGUGUUCGCUUAUUGAGGCUGGGCGCAUUUUAAAUACAGUAUAUCAGCCAAAAGUGCCCAGCUUUCUACAACCCAAACUGUUUUACUCAUUUCCAAAAGAUAAACUUUUUUUUCCCUGACACAACUGGGGAUUGAAUUUACCAGUAAACUACACCUACACUAAACUACAUGGCUCUUGUUAUUUUUUAUUUUGAUACAGGGUCUUGCUAAGUUACUGAGGCUAGCCUUGAACUUGGAAUCCUCCUGGCUCAGCCUCAAUUGUGCCCAGGUAGAAAAGAAACUUCUAAUUUGGAGAGUGAGCUGGGAAAAGGAGGCUGUUCAGCUGUGUACAAAGUUGCAGAGAGUAUCUGAUUACUUAGACUUUUAAUCAAUUCUUGUUUUGGUCUCUACCUGUUCACAUUCUACUUCCAGAGACACAUGAAGCCACCAGUUCCUGAGCCUUUAAGAAAUUCUGUGAUUCAAAUUCAGUAGCUUUUCCUACUGUUUGCUCAGAAUUCAGUUUCCUUGGGUCUACUCUGUUAUUUACUACUUGUAAUUUGUUCUCCAGCUUUUAACUUUUUGUUGAUAUUGUCUUUUCUUCUAUCGUUUCUGUUACACCUUAAAACAGACAAAAAACUUUAUUGUCAUUUAAUGGAAUUUCAGGAAGGAGAAGUAUGUACAUGUGCUGAAUCCCAUCUUUACCCAGACAGCAUGUAAUUUUUGAACCCUGUUGUUCUGUUUCAUGGUAAUCAUUUAUAUCUAUUUCUGACUUAAUUGAGAAGGUACAGUAUAUAGUAUCACGCUCUUGAAUACUGGCUUGAAAAACAGGCUGACUUGAUUUUGAGUCCUGACUCUGAUACUUAUGAUAUGAUUGGCUUUCAGCAAGUGAACCUCUAAAUUUCAUUUUAUUUAACUGUAAAUUAGGUAAUAGAAACAUCUGUCUGCUUCAAAGUAUUGUAAGAAUUAAAUGGGAAAAUGCAAGUAGGGCAGUUGGCACAAUUGUUGACAUUUGGUAAAUAUUAUUAAUUGUUAGUGUUUGGAGUAAUGUGUUUAGAAGCGAUUUGUGCUGACAUUCACUGCUUAAACAAGUUCAUUCAUGUUUCCAGUUGCUAGGAGAUAGCAUGCUGAUCCUCUAAUUGUAUACAGACUUCAAAAUUAUUAUUCAUUGUCUGAAAUCAUCCCUAACCAAUCAUUGAUGACAUUCAACAGAUGGAGAGGUUGAGAUUCUGAAAGUUUCAGUAUGGCUAAUAAAUAGCAGCUGGUCAAGGCUUAGGGGACUUUAAUGUUUGCUUAUGGUAUCCUAUCCUUAGAUGCUUUUGCGGAGAGGGGGGAAAGGUGUGAUUGUUACUCCGGAUUCCAGUGUUAUGUGGUAUGAAAAAAAUCUAAUGGUUUCGUUUUUUGACUAGUUUCUCAAAAUUCAGGCCAUACCCUCUGAGAGAUCUCAAUACUUGAAAUAGUUGGACUAUAUACAUAUAUAGCUUAGUGGGUUUUUGUUUGUUUGUUUGUUUAAUCUGUGUAGUGUAAAAUAGUAAGUAAAGAACCAUAGCAAAUUGAAUGCUCUUGAAAUGGGAACAUUGGAAGAAAAAGAGAUGGUAGAGAGGAAUGUUAAUCCCCCACAAUCAGGUUGUGGUAGAGGAAUACCACUUUAAUAGGUAGAAAUGUGGCCACUAAGUUAAGUUAAUGUCCCCACUGCUGGCAGUAGCACAGUUUUUAAAAACUGCCUUUAGGUAAAGUGCUUGUUUAGCAUAGGUGAGGCACUGGGUUCGAUUCACAUAUAAAUAAAUAAAAUAAAGGUUCAUAGACACCUAAAAAAUGAAUAAAAACUGCCUUUUUCAUUGUUCUUUGAAAUAAGUUAGCAUUACAGUUAAUAUGUUCAGUUGUUUGGGAGUCUGUAAAUUUGAACCUUCCUUUGGCACAAAGGAAGAAUACAGGAAUCUGAACAUUUUUCUCUUCC